CUUUUUUUUUUUUUUUUUCCUGUUGUCUUUAUUAAAGAAAAGCAAACUCCACUGCUAGAUUUAGCUACCGCAGACAGGAGACGGAUUGUCUAAUCUAGACAUUAUUAGCCACUAAAACAGACAAAAUCCUAACAGCAUUACAAGAAAAUCCAGAUGGUCUCCUCCAUAACAGGCAUAUUAGGUUUGGUCUCUACUCACAGCAACGGUAAGUCAUCAGGUACUUGCCCAUUUUACGGUCGCAGAUUGUGCAGGUCAUCAUCUCAUCUGCGAUCUCUGCAACAUUCGCUGGCAGGACAAUGUGGCAGCAAUGAUUUGGCUUAUCUAUAAGUUGUUUUUGGAUCUGCUGGUUGAGUUCUAGCAGAAAAAACUCACUGCCACCGGCCGCAUCCCACCAGCUACUUAUGUUUGACAAGACCUGUAGAACAACUUCUCCUGUGGCUUUAGCCAUUUUAUGCGAGGUUCCUAAUUGACCAAACGCAGCCCAUCCACUGUAGCUUCCACUGAAGCUAAGCAAAGUUCCCACAUCUUUCAUGGUAUUGUUUACUUUAGGAUAGAUGCCCUUUCGUAAUCCCGAAGAGAAGAUGCUUUCCAAUCGGGCCCAAAAUCGCCAACUGUACGUUUCCUCAACAUUCCAGUAGACACCAAGCUUCCUUCCAGUAAUGAAAUCGAAAAUGGCUUUGUUGGUCUGAUUGAUGGCCUUGCUCUGGCUAACAUAAACCAAAUCCAUGCUCAGCUUAGUGACAUCUUUAAUCCGAUUUAUUGCAGUGGUAAACUCCUCAAUCCAUUUGAUGUCUUCUCCUCCGUAAAGG
Molecule: unclassified non-coding RNA, 809 nt
Filed under: Hevea brasiliensis (rubber tree)
Lineage: Eukaryota; Viridiplantae; Streptophyta; Magnoliopsida; Malpighiales; Euphorbiaceae
Source: RNAcentral